AUUGCCCCAGUAACGGCGAGUGAAGCGGCAACAGCUCAAAUUUGAAAUCUGGCCCCUAGGGCCCGAGUUGUAAUUUGCAGAGGAUGCUUUUGGCGAGGUGCCUUCCGAGUUCCCUGGAACGGGACGCCAUAGAGGGUGAGAGCCCCGUCUGGUUGGACGCCGAGCCUCUGUAAAGCUCCUUCGACGAGUCGAGUAGUUUGGGAAUGCUGCUCUAAAUGGGAGGUAUAUGUCUUCUAAAGCUAAAUAUUGGCCAGAGACCGAUAGCGCACAAGUAGAGUGAUCGAAAGAUGAAAAGCACUUUGAAAAGAGAGUUAAAUAGUACGUGAAAUUGUUGAAAGGGAAGCGCUUAUGACCAGACUUGGGCCCGGUGAAUCAUCCAGCGUUCUCGCUGGUGCACUUUGCCGGUGCCCAGGCCAGCAUCAGUUUGCCCCGGGGGAUAAAGGCUUUGGGAAUGUGGCUCCCCAGGGAGUGUUAUAGCCCAUUGCACAAUACCCUGUGGCGGACUGAGGUUCGCGCAUCUUGCAAGGAUGCUGGCGUAAUGGUCAUCAGCGACCCGUCUUGAAACACGGACCAAGGAGUCGUCUUCGUAUGCGAGUGUUCGGGUGUCAAACCCCUACGCGUAAUGAAAGUGAACGCAGGUGAGAGCUUCGGCGCAUCAUCGACCGAUCCUGAUGUUCUCGGAUGGAUUUGAGUAAGAGCAUACGGGGCCGGACCCGAAAGAAGGUGAACUAUGCCUGUAUAGGGUGAAGCCAGAGGAAACUCUGGUGGAGGCUCGCAGCGGUUCUGACGUGCAAAUCGAUCGUCAAAUAUGGGCAUGGGGCGAAAGACUAAU
This 832-nucleotide ribosomal RNA is filed under the name Metarhizium flavoviride. RNAcentral's name for it is "partial large subunit ribosomal RNA". It matches the Rfam family "Eukaryotic large subunit ribosomal RNA", at positions 74 to 935 of the family's 3401-position model. The record is from RNAcentral. Lineage: Eukaryota; Fungi; Ascomycota; Sordariomycetes; Hypocreales; Clavicipitaceae.